UUGAAGCAACUUUGUAACAGAUGGUACACAGCAACGACUCGACAGACUGGAGUCAAAGGUGGACCGCAUACUACAACUACUGUGGAGGAAUCAGGCUGCUGAAGAAGCUGACUGCAUUGGAGAUAAUGCAGGCCAGACUUAAAACAACGGAGGAGCUGGACCAAUUCAGCAAAACGCUGGAGGACCAGGAGUUUAGGAGGACAGUGGUGAAUCUGCUGAAACAGCUAUCUGGAUCAAUGCUGAACUCCUUUGCCAGGAUGAUGCUCGGUGAAAUUGGGAUGUGGCGGUUGUGGGCUGGCGUCAGCCUCAAAGGAUGGAAAGGGAAGAAAGCCCUGCAGCCUCUCACUCUCUAGAGUUUUGAAGAGCAAAGAAGGAGGAUGAAAGAAUUGGUACUGGUGUUAAUGCUGACUCAGAUGCUGGGGUGGAUGAAGCCAUGGGCGACGAUGUGGAUGCCGAUGCCAUGG
This is a long non-coding RNA of Thalassophryne amazonica, 464 nucleotides long. RefSeq lists it as uncharacterized. The transcript has 3 exons. The record is from RefSeq and is a predicted model, not a curated record. NCBI's taxonomy places the organism in Eukaryota, Metazoa, Chordata, Actinopteri, Batrachoidiformes, Batrachoididae.